This 547-nucleotide ribosomal RNA is filed under the name uncultured bacterium. Its description in RNAcentral is "bacterial SSU rRNA". It matches the Rfam family "Bacterial small subunit ribosomal RNA", at positions 355 to 896 of the family's 1533-position model. The record is from RNAcentral.
UGGGGAAUAUUGCGCAAUGGGGGGAACCCUGACGCAGCCAUGCCGCGUGAAUGAAGAAGGCCUUCGGGUUGUAAAGUUCUUUCGGUAUUGAGGAAGGUUGAUGUGUUAAUAGCACAUCAAAUUGACGUUAAAUACAGAAGAAGCACCGGCUAACUCCGUGCCAGCAGCCGCGGUAAUACGGAGGGUGCGAGCGUUAAUCGGAAUAACUGGGCGUAAAGGGCACGCAGGCGGUUAUUUAAGUGAGGUGUGAAAGCCCCGGGCUUAACCUGGGAAUUGCAUUCCAGACUGGGUAACUAGAGUACUUUAGGGAGGGGUAGAAUUCCACGUGUAGCGGUGAAAUGCGUAGAGAUGUGGAGGAAUACCGAAGGCGAAGGCAGCCCCUUGGGAAUGUACUGACGCUCAUGUGCGAAAGCGUGGGGAGCAAACAGGAUUAGAUACCCUGGUAGUCCACGCUGUAAACGCGGUCGAUUUGGGGGUUGGGGUUUAACUCUGGCGCCCGUAGCUNACGUGAUAAAUCGACCNCCUGGGGAGUANGGCCGCNAGGUNA